This 484-nucleotide ribosomal RNA is filed under the name uncultured bacterium. Its description in RNAcentral is "partial 16S ribosomal RNA". It matches the Rfam family "Bacterial small subunit ribosomal RNA", at positions 29 to 523 of the family's 1533-position model. The record is from RNAcentral.
AGUGAACGCUGGCGGCGUGCUUAACACAUGCAAGUCGAACGAGAACGGAUUAUAGCUUGCUAUAAUUGUCAGCUAAGUGGCGCACGGGUGAGUAAUGUAUAGGGAAUAUGCCUCUUACUAAGGGAUAACAAAUGGAAACGUUUGCUCAUACCUUAUACUCCUUAUUAACAGAAGUUAAUAAUGGAAAGAUUUAUUGGUAAGAGAUUAGCCUGUAUUGUAUCAGUUAGUUGGUGGGGUAAUGGCUUACCAAGACUAUGACACAUAACUGGUUUGAGAGGAUGAUCAGUCACACUGGAACUGAGACACGGUCCAGACUCCUACGGGAGGCAGCAGUGGGGAAUAUUGCACAAUGGACGAAAGUCUGAUGCAGCGACGCCGCGUGGAGGAUGACACAUUUCGGUGCGUAAACUCCUUUUAUAUGAGAAGAUAAUGACGGUAUUAUAUGAAUAAGCACCGGCUAACUCCGUGCCAGCAGCCGCGGUAA